RNAcentral lists this ribosomal RNA (253 nucleotides) under uncultured bacterium. RNAcentral describes it as "partial 16S ribosomal RNA". It matches the Rfam family "Bacterial small subunit ribosomal RNA", at positions 524 to 776 of the family's 1533-position model. The record is from RNAcentral.
UACGUAGGGGGCAAGCGUUAAUCGGAAUUACUGGGCGUACAGCGCGCGCAGGCGGUCCACUACGUGCCGUGUGACAAACGUCGGCUUAACCGACGGAGGCCAGGGUACACGGGUGAACUUGAGGCAGAGAGAGGGAUGUGGAAUACCCGGUGUAGCGGUGAAAUGCGCAGAUAUCAGGAGGAACACCGGUGGCGAAGGCGGGUCUCUGGGCAGUAACUGACGCUGAGGAGCGAAAGCGUGGGGAGCGAACAGG